AAACAUAACACUAACGUAACAGUUGAUAAUCGACCCUCCACAAAACACCUACAUCAUUCUAAAGAGCCAUGGCAUUGUUCACUUCACAAGGACAGCAGGCGCCUCUGUACGGUUUCUCCCAGUACACUCCGUCAGGGCACCCUCAGUCACAGGCCAUGUUUAAUCAGAGUGGGUUAACGAUGGGAGCAUCUCCCCCCGGGCCCAUGGAUACCAGCGGCUACCUCCCACCAUUCCUACUGGGGACCCCUGCCACCAAAUCACCCUCUCGUUCGCCAGUGUCUCGUCAGCUGUCCACUCACAGUACCAGGGCAACAGGGAGCACCUCUUCUCUACUGGACAGGUCAUCUCUUGGUGUUGGUCCCUCUAGCAAGGUGGGGGUGGUGUCCAGUCCCUGGGGGGUCCACCUGUGGAGGGGCUGUAUGACCAUCCCACUGCCUCCCCUGCCAGGAGCAACACACCAUUCAUACCAGGGUCUGUGGGUGUGGCCAGCCUGGAUCACCGCACACCACCCUCCCCACCUCAGAUGGACCCAUUCUACACUCAGGGAGAGAACCUGACGAGUGAGGAUGACUAUCAGGAUUGUUGGGUCACUGUGUUCGGGUUUCCCCCGGCAACCUCUUCUUAUAUCCUAGAGCAGUUCUCUCAGUACGGGACCAUCCUCAAACAUGUGACACACACACACACAGACAAAAUUGCAACGUUCAUCACUAGGAAGGGACUCGCUUCGCUCGCCCCAAUUACACUGCGUACCCAGAGUGUUCACUACUGACCAAGUUGUCAAGUGAUAGCCAAUGAGAGGUGGUGUCUGAGGGGGUGGGAUCAGGGGACGAGGGGACAGAGUACCAGUACACCAGCUUCAGUGAUGAGGGGAUGACAGAUGCAGAGCCUGACAAAGAAGCCUGCAGUGCUCUGGUCCAAACCUUCCUCUCCUCCAUUGAUGAAGCCUCUCUGUCGCGGUUCAUCUCCCUCUUCCUGCUCCAGUCAAACUCCACCUCCUUGCGCUGGCAGGCACACAAGUUACUGCACACCCUCUAUCAGUACAGCCAGACUCCACAGCAGGUGUCACUGGUGAAGACCCUCUGGGAGAUGUGGCCCCAGUUGCCCACUUAUGGCCGCAAGUCAGCUCAGUUUGUGGACCUCCUUGGAUACCUGUCCAUCUCCACACCUGCUCCAUUGACUGUGCCACUGUUAAGCAUCCCUAGCUGCCCGGGCUGCUGUAUCAACUAUAGCCACUGUUAAGCAUCCCUAGCUGCCCGGGCUGCUGUAUCAACUAUAUUGUUAGCUAUACUAUUUUAGAGUGUGGAUUGCUAAACGUUACAUUGGGGGUGUGUCAAUCCUCCAUGGAACCAAACCAAGCGGAAAAUAAUUGCUCUUGCAGACUUACUUCUAGCCUCGAUUCCAGCUAUAUUUUCGGUGCGCAGGCGCAAGCGCUUAAGCGAGGUAUACAGUAGUGUGUUUGUGUGUCUGUGUGUGUGUAGACUGUUUCAGCUGCUCAAGGAUCAAUGAAGUGCAAGUAAGAGUUUCUAUAGGCUUCUAGUCAUGUUUUCUUGGCUUGGUAUUUGUGGAUUUGCAAAAUAAAGCUUCGUUCUCGAGUUAUGCCUAGUUUUGCUUACUUGGAAUGCCAUUGCAGCCUUUUCAGAAGAGUCCGUAACAAAACUUGUUCACCGAGUGUUGCUACUCUACUUAGUAGUUAGCUCUGCACUAGAACGCUAGCUAUUGGUAGCUGCGAGAGUGAGAUCGAGAAGAGAGCUGCAAGGUUCUGCUGACUUGCAGCCAUUAAUUUUAGACUUGAACUUUUGGCAUCGAUCGUUAUUAACAACAAUCAUCGUCGAUCAUUACCCACUCUUUGAGUUUCCCUGUGAUUCUGGAUUCUGCAUGCAUCAAAAUUAAAAAUGUUCAUCAUGAUAAUUAUAAUCAAUGUGUGUAUAAAAGCUAGCUACUAGUAACUUUAUGUUAUGUAGCUUUGGCACCUCCAUCGAGGCAUCAGCACCUGCGGUGCUUUCAUUUUUUAUUGUGGUCUAUCAAAAUAGGGUAUACCGAUAUAGUAUUUACCCUACUUUGAGGAUUCCUUAAUGGAUUAUGUGGCAAGCAAAAGUUGCAGGUUAAAGGGAAUAAGUGUGAAGCUAGCAUAAUCCACCAGGGCCCACAUACCAUGCUGCUAAUGACCUUGUAAGCACACGUGCUGUUCAGUAUAUAAGCUGUGCUGUAUUGAUAUUCCACUAAUAGUGAGAGUAACUCAGUGUAGAGUUACACAGCAUGCAUCUAUUGUCACUGUGUUCUGUGUCUCCUCAUGCAGUUGGUAGUGUGUUGGCUGGAUGGUCGCUGGCGUAUGUGAUGGGACAGUACAGUUGGAGCACAGCUUACUGGCUCAUGGAGCUCGUCUCUGUCUCCAUGGUGAUCGGCUAUCUCUACCUACUGUGGGUCAUGAUGAGAUCCAGAGAACCAGUAGGAGGGACCAAGAAACACUAACAUGCUACAUUCUUAGUUUAACCUCUGUUACCGUAAAUUCACGUUUUCAUUGGCAUAUUAAUUAAUGACAUG
This is an RNA transcript of Halichondria panicea, 2541 nucleotides long. RefSeq lists it as uncharacterized. NCBI's taxonomy places the organism in Eukaryota, Metazoa, Porifera, Demospongiae, Suberitida, Halichondriidae. The transcript has 9 exons. The record is from RefSeq and is a predicted model, not a curated record.